UUUCUCAGAUGAAGAUGAGCUGUUGGAAUGAACAGCUGCAGCAAUCUCUAAAAUACUCCACUCCUGCAUAGGAUAUUGGUAAUCUGUGAAUGAUGUUAACAUCUGUAAAAUGGCCCAUUUAACCAAAAGGCACUGAUCCACCAGCUGUGGGGAGCUCACAGAAUCACAGAAUGACCAGGAUGGAAGAGACCUUCAAGAUCAUUGAGUCCAACCCAGCCCCAACACCUCAACUCAACCCUGGCACCCAGUGCCACAUCCAGGCUUUGUUAAACACACCCAGGGAUGGGGACUCCACCACCUCCCCAGGCAGCCACUCCAGAACUUUAUCACCUUUCUGUAAAAAACUUCUUCCUAAUAUCCUUAUUUCCCUUGAUGCAGCUUGAGACCGUGUUCUCUGUUCUGUCAGUUGCUGCUCUCCCCACUAAAUUCUGUGUUUGCCUCUCCAAAAUUAGUUUGUGGCAUGGCAAAGAGGCUGAGGUUAGACAGCUCCCUGCUCUGCUCAAAAACAAAGCAUAAAUUAUUGCAGGACAAACAUCAGGCAAAACCUGGGUUUUCAUGCUUCCUCACCUCCUCACCAGAAAGAGGUUUUACAAAUGAGGUCAGUUCUACUCAGAUACUUGAAAAAAGCCUGACUUUGAAUUUUUGAACCUAUCUGUAGGCUUGGCUACCUCUUUCCAUGCCUAAAUAAAAAUGAAACCUCUUCUGUUAAUCUACCCUUGAGUAAAGUUUUUACCUGAAUGGGAUGUAAUUUUAGAUGUAGGACAGUUCUGAAAAUAAUUGUCACCCUUGUCCAACAUUUCAAGACCUUUAAGGCAGCCAGGCCCUAUACAAGUAGUGAGGUGAGGAAAAAUAUUUGCAAAUAAACUAGAAUAUUUUAUUUUUAAAAUCUAAUAUUCUGAAAUAUUUUCAGGGAUUCUUAUCAUUGCUUGUCCUUUGAAUGUACAGAUGUUGCUUCACUGAAGUUGGUUAAACUUGGGAAAUCCAAAUGCAAACAGUCUUAAGGAAAAAAUACUACAAAUUCUUUUACUGCCAUACUCCCUGUGAAAUCCCUGGAGAACAUUAUGUGUUUGUAAUGCAAAUACAAACUUGGAGUCUGUAUUUGUACCAUCUAAGUGCACUAAUUAAUCUUACUCAUAUGGGCAGGGACAAUGGGAGUCCUAAUAUGAUUAGGGAUAAUAUUAGAGAAAAAACCCUACAAAAUUCUAGUCACCAAUAAAAACACUCCAUUUUCAAAAUCAGGCCUCAGUAUUGCCAAUUUCAAGGUCAUUUAAUGAAACAUGUUUUUCCCAGAUUACUUACUGGAGUUUUAAAUAGAAUAGCAAUUCUAUACUCUUCAUUUUACAAGUUCAUUCCUUGCAGGUAUCAAAUAAUUUCUUUAUGAGAGGGUUUCCUGCUUUUCUUCCUUUUUAAUUUUUUUGGUUUUUUUUUCAUAGCUUACAAGCUUCUGAACAAUUUAAGAGGAUGAUUCUUUAGUAAUACAAUUUCCGUAAUUAAAGACCAUUUAAAAAUAACUUGUACUCUGCCUCCUGGACCUUUGUUAAAACUUUCCAGGAAAACCAUUUGGAGAGUGUUAUACUUAGAGCUGAACUGUUUUUUCUCACCCUUUAAAACCAAAAUUUUCUCAGAAAAUUAAGUAGCAUCCAUCAAGGUGGUUGACACAGCUAUGUGCCAAGGCUAAGGAAAAUAUUUAAUUCAUUGCUCAUUCAAACUAUCUGUGCCUCUAAAACAGAAGGGCUGAGGGGAAUUAAGGACACUCAGGACUUCUUGCAGGUGCUCUGCAUCUCUCUGAAUCAAUCCCAUGUUUUGUAAAAGCAAUGCUAGAUGUAUUCAAAUUUAAAGCACAGUUAAAUCUUCUGGAGAAAUAAUCCUUCUUUGAAAUAGUGCCAAUGAGAGCACUGCAAUAUAGCUUAAUAGAAGAUAUUAUUUAUGGGGCAUUAAAGGCAUUUACUUAAUUCUUGCAAGCCAAACAUCAAACCAGGCAGCAUGCAGGAAAAAACCUGAGGAUCUGAUCCAAAGUUGAGUAACAUCUACAGCUGUUAAUGACAAUGGGUCAUAGAUUACUCCCUGUGGAGUAAAUCAAUUAUAGGCUUUUUCUGAAUCACUGACUUCUUUCCACACCUCUGGGCCAAAUCCUGCUUGCAGGACAUGAAAAAAUGCACGAGAUCCAAAUCAGUGGAAAGAGGGCUGUAUAGGCAGCCUGACAUCUGCAGAGAGCAAGAAGAAUUUGGCCCAAAUGCUCCUGUUAAGGCAGGUAGAAAUUAUCACAUUCAGAGGUUAAUCAAAUAAUCAUUUUUCAAAUGCAAAUCAGAAACCAUAGAAAAUGCAAGCAACACCAAACAAUGAGAAAUGGCAAGAUCCCAAAACACCAUUCAUUCCUUAUGUGAGAUGUGAGAAAGUAUUAACAUAAUUCAGUAUGACAUCCAUACCAGAUGUUGGCAAUCACCUACAGAACACCAGACACGUUCAUGCACAGUCUGGAAACAAGUGGGAAGAAGAAGAAAAAUGAAAAAAAAACCCACAAAAAAAAAAAAAAAAAAAAAAGAAAAG
Molecule: long non-coding RNA, 2547 nt
Filed under: Taeniopygia guttata (zebra finch)
Lineage: Eukaryota; Metazoa; Chordata; Aves; Passeriformes; Estrildidae
Description: lncRNA (ENSTGUG00000029564.1)
Source: RNAcentral